RNAcentral lists this long non-coding RNA (401 nucleotides) under Hordeum vulgare. Its description in RNAcentral is "long non-coding RNA (HVUL_LNC009903)". Lineage: Eukaryota; Viridiplantae; Streptophyta; Magnoliopsida; Poales; Poaceae. The record is from RNAcentral.
GUUAUGACCGGCGUGGCCUAUAGCCGGCGUAGGCCCAUUGGGCGUUAAUAUUAGCGGCUUGGCCCGCAAGUUAUCUUAGGUAAAUUACUUUAGGAAAGUUAUCUUAGGCUCGAGUUAUAAAUACUAGUUGUAAGACAUCAAUUGAGAUCAAGCAAUAAAGAUAUUAUCUUCUGUUGCCCGGCUCCCCAAGGAGCCGGAACCCUAGCCUCCGCCGCGCCUAACCCUAGCCGCGACGGCGCCAUCUCGCCGGCGCGCCCGCUCCAGCCCUCGCUCCCCUCCUCCCUGCCCGUACAACCUACGCCGGAGGCCCGGUAGGAACCCUAGUCCUACCAAUUUGGUAUCCAGAUAUUCCAGGCUGAUCAUGUCGCUCCCUCCACCACCGCCGCCGCUCAACACCACCA